RNAcentral lists this unclassified non-coding RNA (357 nucleotides) under Hevea brasiliensis (rubber tree). The record is from RNAcentral. Lineage: Eukaryota; Viridiplantae; Streptophyta; Magnoliopsida; Malpighiales; Euphorbiaceae.
AAAUAUUUCUUUUGAGCUCAAGCCUAAAUUUAACUAAACAUUAGCCAAAAUUUUUGUCCAAGUUUAGAUUUGUUAUUUUCUCAAACAAGCUCAAGAAUGUUCACAAGCUUAAUAGUCUAAUAGAGAUUAAAUAUUUUUAUUAUUAUGUUCACAUAAUAAUGGCAUUUUAUCUAAAUAAUGUAAAUUAAUAGUGAUUUUAUAUUGUCAAAAUUUAUUUCCAAUAAAAUUUAUGUUUAUUGUUGAAAUUUACAAGAAGAAGAAGAAAAAAGGGAAGAGAAAGGAAAGAGAAUUGGAAUGAAUCUCAAAGGGUUACAUUUUCAAUUUACUCAUGUCUUAGCAUAAUAUAUAAGUCCAUAU